UUGAAGCAUUUAAGAACUAUUAUUAAAGGAGGUUGUGAAAAGUGUAAGCCUACGGAGAAUGGGGACAAUCCUUUCCGAGCCCUUUUUCCUCAGACCCAAGCUGCUCCUCAACCACAUUAUCCAUCUUAUGCUGGCUUCCGUGGAAACUGUGGACUGCAGUAAUCUGUAGAUUGCUGUCUGUAAGCAGUUUCCUCCAAGAGUGAAACAGUACCACCCAUAAGGAAACUCCUCGAGCAAGAAGGUAAACAACUCAAGAUAGCUUCCAGAAGUCCCUGAAACUGACCGAUUCACUAAUCCUCUCCUUAGCAGAGUAAGCAAUAAAAGCUGAAGGGUCUCUCUCAGACUGAAGAAAGCUGAGCUGCAAAGAUGGCUCUCAAAUAGAAGUGGAGCUGCCAAGAAGACCCAGACAAGCUGACCUUCAAAACUCCGAGACUGAACCAGCUGUCUCGAAGAAGAAACCAGCUGGGAAACCUGGAAGAGUUUUAGAUCAACUUUUCACUUGUUGGAAGGACAUGCUCCAACUUGUUGAGCUGCAAGCAGGCUGUGCAGUGUAUGCAAGAUCCAAGCUUUGUAAGCUGUCAUCUGGGCUGGGAUGAGACCAGGUGAUGCAUUACACCUGUCUUUGAGUCAUUUCCUCUCCUGUGAGUAAUCCCUCAAACAAUUCAUGUAAAGAACCCCAAUAAAAUUCCUUGGUUCACCACUUUGGUGGUAU
Non-coding RNA from Rattus norvegicus (Norway rat), 712 nucleotides. The record is from RefSeq and is a predicted model, not a curated record. NCBI's taxonomy places the organism in Eukaryota, Metazoa, Chordata, Mammalia, Rodentia, Muridae.